GACGAACGCUGGCGGCGUGCCUAAUACAUGCAAGUAGAACGCACAGUUUAUACCGUAGCUUGCUACACCAUAGACUGUGAGUUGCGAACGGGUGAGUAACGCGUAGGUAACCUGCCUGGUAGCGGGGGAUAACUAUUGGAAACGAUAGCUAAUACCGCAUAAUAUUAAUUAUUGCAUGAUAAUCAAUUGAAAGGUGCAAUUGCACCACUACCAGAUGGACCUGCGUUGUAUUAGCUAGUAGGGGAGGUAACGGCUCACCUAGGCGACGAUACAUAGCCGACCUGGAAGGGUGGUCGGCCACACUGGGACUGAGACACGGCCCAGAAUCCUUAGGGGGGGCGCAGUAGGGAAUCUUCGGCAAUGGACGAAAGUCUGACCGAGCAACGCCGCGUGAGGGAAGAAGGGUUUCGGAUCGUAAAGCUCUGUUGUAAUAGAAGAAAGGGUGUGAGAGUGGAAAGUUCACACUGUGACGGUAUCUUACCAGAAAGGGACGGCUAACUACGUG
Molecule: ribosomal RNA, 505 nt
Filed under: uncultured bacterium
Lineage: Bacteria
Description: partial 16S ribosomal RNA
Rfam family: Bacterial small subunit ribosomal RNA
Source: RNAcentral